Molecule: ribosomal RNA, 253 nt
Filed under: uncultured bacterium
Lineage: Bacteria
Description: partial 16S ribosomal RNA
Rfam family: Bacterial small subunit ribosomal RNA
Source: RNAcentral
UACGAAGGGGGCUAGCGUUACUCGGAAUUACUGGGCGUAAAGGGCGCGUAGGCGGCGCUCCAAGUUAGGCGUGAAAGUCCUGGGCUCAACCUGGGAACUGCGCUUAAGACUGGAGUGCUUGAGGAUGGAAGAGGGUCGUGGAAUUCCCAGUGUAGAGAUGAAAUUCGUAGAUAUCGGGAGGAACACCAGUGGCGAAGGCGGCGAUCUGGGCAGACACUGACGCUGAGGUGCGAAAGCGUGGGGAGCAAACAGG